CCUACGGGAGGCAGCAGUGAGGGAUAUUGGUCAAUGGCGGAAACCCUGAACCAGCAACGCCGCGUGAGGGAAGACGGUUUUCGGAUUGUAAAACCCUGUCCUCUGUGAAGAUAAUGACGGUAGCAGAGGAGGAAGCUCCGGCUAACUACGUGACAGCAGCCGCGGUAAUAAGUCGGGAGCCAGCGUUGUCCGGAUUUACUGGGUGUAAAGGGUGCGUAGGCGGCUUUGCAAGUCAGAAGUGAAAUCCAUGGGCUUAACCCAUGAACUGCUUUUGAAACUGCAGAGCUUGAGUGGAGUAGAGGCAGGCGGAAUCCGCGGUGUAGCGGUGAAAUGCGUAGAGAUCGGGAGGAACACCGGUGGCGAAGGCGGCCUGCUG
Molecule: ribosomal RNA, 376 nt
Filed under: uncultured bacterium
Lineage: Bacteria
Description: partial 16S ribosomal RNA
Rfam family: Bacterial small subunit ribosomal RNA
Source: RNAcentral